RNAcentral lists this unclassified non-coding RNA (246 nucleotides) under uncultured fungus. RNAcentral's name for it is "sequence contains ITS1". Lineage: Eukaryota; Fungi. The record is from RNAcentral.
GUAUUGUGUUUCCGCCCUUGCGAGCAUCCACGUUCUACAAGACUAUUACAAUAAGUUUGUGAUAAGACGACGCCGCGGCCUCCGAUGCCCAAAUGAAUGGACACCACCAAACGAGACCGCGUUAUCGAAAGUGCACAGGGGUUGAGUGGAUGGAGCGGGGCCCGAGCACGGUGCUUCGCGAGAAGCCAGCUCAAAGACCCACUUCAGAACUCGAUAAUGAUCCUUCCGCAGGUUCACCUACGGAAA